This 301-nucleotide ribosomal RNA is filed under the name uncultured bacterium. RNAcentral describes it as "partial 16S ribosomal RNA". It matches the Rfam family "Bacterial small subunit ribosomal RNA", at positions 509 to 809 of the family's 1533-position model. The record is from RNAcentral.
CAGCCGCCGCGGUAAUACGGAGGGUGCAAGCGUUAAUCGGAAUUACUGGGCGUAAAGCGCACGCAGGCGGUCUGACAAGUCAGAUGUGAAAUCCCCGGGCUUAACCUGGGAACUGCAUUUGAAACUGUCAGGCUGGAGUCUUGUAGAGGGGGGUGGAAUUCCAGGUGUAGCGGUGAAAUGCGUAGAGAUCUGGAGGAAUACCGGUGGCGAAGGCGGCCCCCUGGACAAAGACUGACGCUCAGGUGCGAAAGCGUGGGGAGCAAACAGGAUUAGAGACCCGAGUAGUCCCUGUCUCUUAUAU